ACAUGUGUUUUCAUGUGUAUCAUUCCAAGUGUUUGCCUGAUGAGUUCAGUCUUAGUGACAGCAAUAAUCACUGGCAGUGCCCAGUUUGCUGGAGCAUUAAGAUGAAGCACUCUAACAAGCAGGAAAUGGGCAUCUCCUUGAAGUUCAGUGUCUCCCCCAUGAAAAAGCAGGUCAUAGACCUUAAUAAAAAGGAAAGGACAGUAAGCAUCCUGGUCCAUUCAGCUGUUGAUGUCCCUCCCAUACAAGGAAGGUGAAUGAGGGGAAGUACUGGAGUUAAGUGGAGUUCAAGGCUGACACACAGCUGCUUCUGCACAACAGUGAUCUGCUAUGGAGCAGGGAGCCAGGGGACAUUGCAAGUAUGUGAUAUAAAGACACGUACCAUGAGCUGGACAAGCUGCAGCUUUGCAAGAACUGCUUCUACCUGUCAAACCCACGGCCCGACAACUGGUUCUGCUACCCUUGCAUAUCUAAUCAUGAGCUGCUUUGGGCUAAAAUAAAAGGUUUUGGGGUUUGGCCAGCCAAAGUCAUGCAGAAAGAAGACAGUCAAGUUUGUGUUCGCUUCUUUGGCCAUACCACCAGAGAGCCUGGAUUCCUUUUGAAAAUAUUCAGGAUAUUACAGUCAAUGUUCACAGAUUACAUGUGAAGCACAGCAUGGGCUUGAAAAAGGCCAGUGAUGAGCUGGAACUGCAUCAGGGCUUCGUCCAUGAAGGAAGGUUCUGGAAGUCUAAGAAUGAUGACUGAGGUGAGAAAGAGACAGAAUCCAGUAUCUCCUUGACCAGUUAUGAACCGCUGAAGGUCACUCAAGAGCCAAGAGCAAAGAAAGGACGAUGUAAUCAGAGUGUGGAGCCCAGAAAGGAAGAACCCGAGCCAGAAAUGGAAGCAGUAAGUUUCAGACAGGAAAUCCCCACAAUGCCUCAGCCAGUUGACAGGGUGUCAGUAUCAACCCAGACCAGGAAGUUAAGUGCCUCUUCCCCAGGAAUGCUGCAUCUGCAUCGAAGUACUAGGAUGACGAGAGACGGUGUCUUUCAGAGCAUGUGCCACGACAAGUAUACCAAAAAUUUUAAUGACUUUAAAGACAGGAUGAAGUCGGAACACAAGCGGGAAACAGAGAGAGUGGUCUGUACAGUGCUGGAAAAGUUGCGUUCUGAAAUGGAAGAAGAAAAAGACAAGCCGUGAACAAAGCUGUAGCCAACCUGCAGGCUGAGAUGCACAGAAAGUGUAAGCAGGUGAAGGAAAAGUGUAAGGAAGCAUUUGUAGAGGAGAUCAAGGAACUAGCGGCGCAGCACAAGCAGCUCAUUUCUCAGAUCAAGAAACAGUGGUGUUACAACUGUGAGGAGGCAGCAGGCCAUGUACCAUGGCUGCUGGAGCUCGGCCUACUGCUCCAUCUAGUGCCAGCAGGAGCACUGGCACAAAGAGCACAACUGCACCUGCCACCAGAAGAGAUGA
RNAcentral lists this long non-coding RNA (1446 nucleotides) under Mus musculus (house mouse). RNAcentral's name for it is "long non-coding RNA chr4:144296691-144298137". Lineage: Eukaryota; Metazoa; Chordata; Mammalia; Rodentia; Muridae. The record is from RNAcentral.